RNAcentral lists this ribosomal RNA (253 nucleotides) under uncultured bacterium. RNAcentral's name for it is "partial 16S ribosomal RNA". It matches the Rfam family "Bacterial small subunit ribosomal RNA", at positions 524 to 776 of the family's 1533-position model. The record is from RNAcentral.
UACAGAGGGUGCGAGCGUUAAUCGGAAUUACUGGGCGUAAAGCGCGCGUAGGCGGCUUUGCAAGUCGGGUGUGAAAUCCCCAGGCUUAACCUGGGAACUGCAUUCGAGACUGCAUUGCUAGAGUAUGGGAGAGGGAAGUGGAAUUUCAGGUGUAGCGGUGAAAUGCGUAGAUAUCUGGAGGAACACCGGUGGCGAAGGCGCCCGCCUGGCCUGCUACUGACGCUGAAGCUCGAAAGCUAGGGGAGCAAACGGG